GGCGAAGAGCAAGACACAGACAAGCCGGCAUAUGAUAAUCCCCCCCACCACACACUCCCGUGCGUUGACUUGAGUACUUUUGAACAAAAGAGCAGCAGGCCAACAUCAUUCGUGUUGUGUGACGAUACGAAAAGUAGUUGAUUUUCUGAACUAAAUUAGACAGCGCCUAAGAUGCCUUCCAUAAUAUACAAAUGUGCUUUACAUUUUCAUAAAGAAAGUGUAGUGCAAUAGUGUACAUUGAGUGCAUCAGCGAAAUAAACCUGUUGCCAAGUAACUGUUGUCUCGUUUAGACAGUACUUCAAUCAGUUGGCGUCGGAAAGAGAGAGAGAGAGAGCGAAGUCUAAGCACAUGUUCAUAGAUCAAAUGCAGACAUAAGAUCCCAGGAUAUUCCGCCGUAGCUCCUCGUCCUAUCGGGAUUUCCAAGGGAUGUGCUCCUGCGGCUGGACUGUGGCAGCAACUGGCUGUCCUGCUGCAAGCCAUUGCCAUGAUACCGCUGCUGUGUGGCUAAGUCGACACUUGGCGUCCCAUCCACUGCAGCAGGGACCAAUGAUCGACUGAGAGCCGGGAAAUAAUGCCAGCAAACCACCAUUCAAACGCCGCCGAAUCAAACGCUGGGCUUCAGCUUCAAGACGCGUAAGCGCAUUCAAGGAUCAAGGACAUUUUUCUGAUCACGGUGGGACUUGGCACGACCCGAUCGGGCCGUAAAUUAUGGAGAAAUAGAAUAUAUAUGUCUGCGGUAAAUAUCCUUGAUCCUUGGUCCUCGAUAAGGACUCCAUUAAGUCAGGCCUCAAAUAACGGAGAAAAAAAUGGCUUGUAAUGGCCGUGAUCAGAAAAAUGUCCUUGAACCUUCGCCAAGGACUCCAACAGCCCCAAGCAUACAUAUUCAGUUUUCUCGGCUAUUUGUGAGCCGAUCUGGGCGGAUCAAGGAUCAUUCCUCAAUCAAAAAUAUAUAAUUUUCUCCGCUAUUUGUGAACCGAUCUGGGCGUGCCACGCCUUUUUGUAAUCGGAAUAAUUUACCCGAUACAGAAAACAGCAAGGAUGAUUUUUUUAAUAUUUGUAAUCAUCAAAACUUAGCUUAGUAUAAAUAAGUAAACAAGUGGAAAACAUUUGUAUCUACUACCUAAAUCCUUAAAUCUAACAAUAAUGAUAUAUAUCUAGAAUCUAGUAGCCCAUGUAACCUCUCCUUUGUUUGCCAAAGUCCUUGUUCUCGAUGGCCAGGUAGAAGGAUGACGACGGCUUAUAGGCUGGCUUAUGUGGACGCGUCGGUUGUCGAAGUCUGCUUUUUAGACUAGACAGGUAGUUAAGUGUAGUGUCAUACGACCAUUAGCGAUGGUUGAAUGAAAGAAAACAUCGCUGAAAAGCGACUAAUUUUUUCUUAUCAGAGAAAAAGCAGCUGACUUUGUGUAUGUAUGUUUAAAUAAGGAAUAAUUCGGAAAUUAAUAGUCAAAAUAUGCAACAAAAAAACACAUGACUUUUCAAAUAAAAAUAACAACUUGUAUUGAACAGAACAUUAAACAGAAUAAUACGUAUUUCUCAUCUCAAUUUUAACGGGAACAACAACGAAUUUUUGACUUUAAUAUAUGGAAUAAUAAUACAGUAGUGUUUCAUAUUGUAUGCACUAUUAUUAUGGGGCUAAAUUAUGUAUUAGGAGUUGAACUUGGACAUUGAAUUUGCAUCAGAAACGUCGCCGUCGGAGAUGGAUACGGAUAUUGGAGGCUUUCUGACCUACUCCCUCUACUUGGCAGUGUAGUUCUUGUGGACCUCAGGCGAAAUGUU
This is a long non-coding RNA of Drosophila pseudoobscura, 1776 nucleotides long. RefSeq lists it as uncharacterized. The record is from RefSeq and is a predicted model, not a curated record. NCBI's taxonomy places the organism in Eukaryota, Metazoa, Arthropoda, Insecta, Diptera, Drosophilidae. The transcript has 2 exons.